This 649-nucleotide long non-coding RNA is filed under the name Nicotiana tabacum (common tobacco). RNAcentral's name for it is "long non-coding RNA (NTAB_LNC012480)". The record is from RNAcentral. Lineage: Eukaryota; Viridiplantae; Streptophyta; Magnoliopsida; Solanales; Solanaceae.
UAGAGUUUAAAACCCUAAUGCUGGCUGAAUGGAAAAAUUCAGUUUAGGGUUUAAAACCCUAAUGCUGACUAAAGGAAAAAUUCAAUUUAGGGUUUAAAACCCUAAUGCUGACUAAAGGAAAAAUUCAGUUUAGGGUUUAAAACCCUAAUGCUGACUGCAUGGAAAAGCUCAGUUUAGGGUUUAAAACCCUAAUGCUGGCUGAAUGGAAAAAAGUUCAGUUUAAGGUUUAAAACCCUAAUGCUGACUAAAGGAAAAAUUCAGUUUAGGGUUUAAAACCCUAAUGCUGACUACCUGGAAAAGCUCAGUUUAGAGUUUAAAACCCUAAUGCUGGCUGAAUGGAAAAAUUCAGUUUAGGGUUUAAAACCCUAAUGCUGACUAAAGGAAAAAUUCAGUUUAGGGUUUAAAGCCCUAAUGCUGACUGCAUGGAAAAGCUCAGUUUAGGGUUUAAAACACUAAUGCUGGCUGAAUGGAAAAAGUUCAGUUUAGGGUUUAAAACCCUAAUGCUGACUAAAGGAAAAAUUCAGUUUAGGGUUUAAAACCCUAAUGCUGACUGCAUGGAAAAGCUCAGUUUAGGGUUUAAAACCCUAAUGCUGGCUGAAUGGAAAAAGUUCAGUUUAGGGUUUAAAACCCUAAUGCUGACUACAUGGAA